AGCCGUGGGGGAGGGGAAAGGGCGCGCGGCCUCGGAUGCGCAGACCCUGGGCCGGCGACUCGGGGACCCUGCUCCCUCUUAGCUAAAAAUGACGUCGGCGUUCAGCUCCUCCAACCUCACGUGGACAGGCGAGGGAACCGAGACCCAGAGAGGGCAGGGGACUUUGGCAAACUCACACAGCCCACCGCAGGCAACUGGAACUGAAACCCAGGACUCCGUCUCUUGCCAGUGAAAGUUAUGUUAGGAAGCAGUGAGGGGUCUAAAGCAGUAUGAAAGGCAAAGAGAAAAGGUGAUUGUUCCCUCUUGAAUGGCCCUUGGAAGCUGAGUAUCUGGAUUCACCCUCCCUAGGGAAUUUCCCGAUUGUCUUGCAGGCUUACACACUCAUCAAGAUGACAAAAAUAAUGACAGUAACACUUAUGUGGAACUUGACUUUUUCCCAGGUGCUGCUCUAAGCAUUUACUGUGUUUGUUUUACAGGAAGGAAGACUGUACACAGAGAAUAAAUAACUUGGCCAAGCCAUUCAGCUAGGAAGUUGUAGAUCCUAAAUUAAGAGUUCAAGGUCUUAAUGGCUACUCUAUGCGGCCUCUCAUAGUCUUUUCAAGGGUUUUGGAGAAGAAUAAAAGAUCAGUCAUCCACAGAUGUUUGAGUGGUUACAAUGUGCCAGCCUCCCUUCUAGGUACUGGAGAUAAAGUGGGACAAGAGAGGUGAGGUCUGGACCCUUGGCACUUUCACGAUAAAAUACACAGGUAAACAUUUGCCUUUAGGGCCCCCUGUGAUUACUUCCACUCUUGCAGAUAAGAGGAUAAGGCCUCUUCAGCUUGUUCACAGCAGCUGAAAAGCAAAGCCUCUCUGUCAGUAGAGGUAAAAGAUUAAGAAUGCAGAGUCCGAUGGGGCAUUACCACAUGAUUAUGAAUUAAUGCAAUUUUCCAUCUUUUAUUUCCAAUCCAGGCAUUGCUUUUGAACUCAGUCAUCUUUUCCCCCUUGCCCACUAGUUGCUUGUGAUACAUCAGUAUCCUCACUCACCCCCAACUCCAGAGGCUGAAACUAACUCUCCUCCUCCCUCUUCCAACUGCUGAGGAAGAUGAGUCAAUGGUGUUACUGGACCCUGUGAACUGAUGCUGUGAAGAGAGGCCAUUUAACACGGACUACGGGGAAUGGUGCCACAGGGGGCUCAGUGCUGCCCUUCACUCUCAGCAUUUUGCUCACUCAGCAUUGAUGACAGGAUGUCCCAAAAGUAACAAAAGAUGGGAGCCAGUCCUCUCAUAGCUGUUUCUUCAAUCAUCCCAUCAACAGCUCUUCAUUUAUUGAACUACCUUCCUUUUCCAAAGAGGUAAUGCUGAGAUCAGUCAGAAAGGCUUUCUGAGAAAACUGGCUUGGAUUUCUGGGUCUGUUGCAGUCAAUUCAAGAUGAACUGGCUUGUAUCAAUGAAGCGCUCAAUGCAGUUCACAAAACAGGCCUCAGCCCGACUGUCCAACUUUGGCCCAGGCUUGUCCAUGCACUUCUCCCAACAAAGUUCAGUCAUCUGGUGCACCAGCUGCUGGAAGCGCUGCUUUUGAGUCUCUACCUCAAUGAAAAUGCUGCAACUGCGGGUCCACUGCACCCAAACCCGCCGCAGAGGAAGAGCAGGAGGAAUCCAUCCCAGGACAACCAUGCUUGCAGAGACGAACUCCGCACCAACCUUCACGUGUCUCCACGACCUAGUUAAUCAAUUUAAAAUGAGGUCACUAGGGUGGGCCCCAAUCCAAUAUGACUGAUAACUUUAUAAAAAGGAGAGAUUUGGAUACAGAAAGAGACAGAGUGAAAACCAUGUGAAGAAACAUAGGAAAAGAUGGCAGCUACAAGCCAAGGAGAAGCUUGCAGUGUGUAUUCAUCUGUUCUCAUGCUGUUAAUAAAGACAUACCUGAGACUGGGUAAUUUAUAAAGGAAA
This 1927-nucleotide long non-coding RNA is filed under the name Homo sapiens (human). RNAcentral describes it as "HSALNT0306865". Lineage: Eukaryota; Metazoa; Chordata; Mammalia; Primates; Hominidae. The record is from RNAcentral.